GUAGGUCACGAGCGUUGUCCGGAAUUACAGGGUGUAAAGGGAGCGCAGGCGGAAAGACAAGUUGGAAGUGAAAUCUAUGGGCUCAACCCAUAAACUGCUUUCAAAACUGUUUUUCUUGAGUAGUGCAGAGGUAGGCGGAAUUCCCGGUGUAGCGGUGGAAUGCGUAGAUAUCGGGAGGAAUACCAGUGGCGAAGGCGGCCUACUGGGCACCAACUGACGCUGAGGCUCGAAAGUGUGGGUAGCAAACAGGAUUAGAUACCCUGGUAGUCCACACCGUAAACGAUGAUUACUAGGUGUUGGAGGAUUGACCCCUUCAGUGCCGCAGUUAACACAAUAGGUAAUCCACCUGGGGAGUACGACCGCAAGGUUG
RNAcentral lists this ribosomal RNA (370 nucleotides) under uncultured bacterium. RNAcentral describes it as "bacterial SSU rRNA". It matches the Rfam family "Bacterial small subunit ribosomal RNA", at positions 527 to 896 of the family's 1533-position model. The record is from RNAcentral.